RNAcentral lists this ribosomal RNA (253 nucleotides) under uncultured bacterium. RNAcentral's name for it is "partial 16S ribosomal RNA". It matches the Rfam family "Bacterial small subunit ribosomal RNA", at positions 524 to 776 of the family's 1533-position model. The record is from RNAcentral.
UACAGAGGAUGCGAGCGUUAAUCGGAAUUACUGGGCGUAAAGCGCACGUAGGUGGCGACGUAAGUCGGGUGUGAAAGCCCCGGGCUCAACCUGGGAAUUGCAUUCGAGACUGCAUUGCUGGAGUACGGAAGAGGAAGGCGGAAUUCCCGGUGUAGCGGUGAAAUGCGUAGAUAUCGGGAGGAACAUCAGUGGCGAAGGCGGCCUUCUGGUCCAGUACUGACACUCAAGUGCGAAAGCGUGGGGAGCAAACAGG